GGGGGCGUGGCGGAAUCGGCAGACGCACCGGACUUAAAAUCCGGGUCCUGACGGAGUGUGGGUUCGAAUCCCACCGCCCCUA
RNAcentral lists this transfer RNA (82 nucleotides) under Rubrobacteraceae bacterium. RNAcentral's name for it is "tRNA-Leu". It matches the Rfam family "tRNA". From Rfam's summary of the family: Transfer RNA (tRNA) molecules are approximately 80 nucleotides in length. Their secondary structure includes four short double-helical elements and three loops (D, anti-codon, and T loops). Further hydrogen bonds mediate the characteristic L-shaped molecular structure. tRNAs have two regions of fundamental functional importance: the anti-codon, which is responsible for specific mRNA codon recognition, and the 3' end, to which the tRNAs corresponding amino acid is attached (by aminoacyl-tRNA synthetases). tRNAs cope with the degeneracy of the genetic code in two manners: having more than one tRNA (with a specific anti-codon) for a particular amino acid; and 'wobble' base-pairing, i.e. permitting non-standard base-pairing at the 3rd anti-codon position. Lineage: Bacteria; Bacillati; Actinomycetota; Rubrobacteria; Rubrobacterales; Rubrobacteraceae. The record is from RNAcentral.